AUACGGAGGGGACAAGCGUUAUUCGGAAUCACUGGGCGUAAAGGACGCGUAGGCGGGUUAUUAAGUCGGGUGUGAAAUCCAAUGGCUCAACCAUUGAACUGCAUUCGAAACUGAUAACCUAGAGUAUGGAAGGGGCGGGUGGAAUUAGUGGUGUAGGGGUAAAAUCCGUAGAUAUCACUAGGAAUACCGAAAGCGAAGGCGACCUGCUGGGACAUUACUGACGCUGAGGCGUGAAAGCGUGGGGAGCAAACAGGAUUAGAAACCCCAGUAGUCC
This 274-nucleotide ribosomal RNA is filed under the name uncultured bacterium. Its description in RNAcentral is "partial 16S ribosomal RNA". It matches the Rfam family "Bacterial small subunit ribosomal RNA", at positions 523 to 796 of the family's 1533-position model. The record is from RNAcentral.